GGAAUCUUGCGCAAUGGGCGAAAGCCUGACGCAGCGACGCCGCGUGGGGGAUGAAGCUUCUCGGAGUGUACACCCCUUUCGACCAGGAAGAAACGCCCGCAAGGGCUUGACGGUCCGGGUAUAAGAAGCCCCGGCUACCUACGUGCCAGCAGCCGCGGUAAGACGUAGGGGGCUAGCGUUGCUCGGACUUACUGGGCGUAAAGGGUUCGUAGGCGGUGCGGCAAGUCGGGAGUGAAAUCUCCAGGCUUAACUUGGAGGCUGCUUCCGAAACUGCCGUGCUAGAGUGCGGGAGGGGCGAGUGGAAUUGCAGGUGUAGCGGUGAAAUGCGUAGAUAUCUGCAGGAACACCCGUGGCGAAGGCGGCUCGCUGGACCGCAACUGACGCUGAGGAACGAAAGCUAGGGGAGCAAAC
RNAcentral lists this ribosomal RNA (411 nucleotides) under uncultured bacterium. RNAcentral's name for it is "bacterial SSU rRNA". It matches the Rfam family "Bacterial small subunit ribosomal RNA", at positions 358 to 773 of the family's 1533-position model. The record is from RNAcentral.